This is a long non-coding RNA of Esox lucius (northern pike), 201 nucleotides long. RefSeq lists it as uncharacterized. The record is from RefSeq and is a predicted model, not a curated record. Lineage: Eukaryota; Metazoa; Chordata; Actinopteri; Esociformes; Esocidae. The transcript is spliced from 3 exons.
ACUUGUCUCCAAAAGCUGUCGUAAUAAAUGGAAUAUGCGGUAUGGUAAUUGACUUGACUCCUGGUGUGUUAUUCUCCUUUCCAACAAACCAACUCGGUGCCAUCGAUUGACACAGGGUGAGGUCACUGGGAAACAACAGCGCGGCCAACACUCAAACUGCCUGUCUUGUUCAGUUCCAAAGAUGUGUUGUUGAGCUGGGGG